Molecule: ribosomal RNA, 785 nt
Filed under: Bacillus pumilus
Lineage: Bacteria; Bacillati; Bacillota; Bacilli; Caryophanales; Bacillaceae
Description: partial 23S ribosomal RNA
Rfam family: Bacterial large subunit ribosomal RNA
Source: RNAcentral
AUAGGUAGGAGCCUUGGAAACCGGAGCGCUAGCUUCGGUGGAGGCAUCGGUGGGAUACUACCCUGGCUGUAUUGACCUUCUAACCCGCUGCCCUUAUCGGGCAGGGAGACAGUGUCAGGUGGGCAGUUUGACUGGGGCGGUCGCCUCCUAAAAUGUAACGGAGGCGCCCAAAGGUUCCCUCAGAAUGGUUGGAAAUCAUUCGCAGAGUGUAAAGGCACAAGGGAGCUUGACUGCGAGACCUACAAGUCGAGCAGGGACGAAAGUCGGGCUUAGUGAUCCGGUGGUUCCGCAUGGAAGGGCCAUCGCUCAACGGAUAAAAGCUACCCCGGGGAUAACAGGCUUAUCUCCCCCAAGAGUCCACAUCGACGGGGAGGUUUGGCACCUCGAUGUCGGCUCAUCGCAUCCUGGGGCUGUAGUCGGUCCCAAGGGUUGGGCUGUUCGCCCAUUAAAGCGGUACGCGAGCUGGGUUCAGAACGUCGUGAGACAGUUCGGUCCCUAUCCGUCGCGGGCGCAGGAAAUUUGAGAGGAGCUGUCCUUAGUACGAGAGGACCGGGAUGGACGCACCGCUGGUGUACCAGUUGUUCUGCCAAGGGCAUCGCUGGGUAGCUAUGUGCGGACGGGAUAAGUGCUGAAAGCAUCUAAGCAUGAAGCCCCCCUCAAGAUGAGAUUUCCCAUUCCGCAAGGAAGUAAGAUCCCUGAAAGAUGAUCAGGUUGAUAGGUCUGAGGUGGAAGCGUGGUGACACGUGGAGCUGACAGAUACUAAUAGAUCGAGGACUUAACCUAUA